CCGGGCGGCCGCGAGGCCACGGGGUCCGCGGCGCGCUCGCUCCGAGCGUCCUGGCCCGCGGCGGCGUGUCCCCGGGGCCCGCCGCUGCAGGCGGAACCGCCGCCCCCGGGAGGUGACCUAGAUUCGGGCGUCAGGGCGUCGCUCCCUGCGGCCUGCGGGCCCACAGCUCCUUCCCCGCGGCGUAGUCAGUCUGCGUCCUCGAGGACGCCUGGAGGGCCCCGGCCUACAGCGAGGACAAGCCACCGGGUCCCCAGGCCUCUGACUGGCCGGGCCUUCAGGUCCAGCCCCAGUGCGUCCGCCUCCGCCCGUGGCCCGUGGGCCGUAGAGCGCGGCUCGGUGCCAGGACCCACCAGUGCGUGAUGGUGAGGGAUGGGAGCGGGAAGGUGCACCGUCAAGCGCACAAAGACCCAGAAACCGCAGCAGCGGAGUGUGGCCAUGGAGUGGGGGCCACGGGAGGAAGGGCUGGUAUGGGAAGAUCUGAGCCACCGAGAAUGCCCUCGGUAGGGAUGGGAGUCACUCAGGAGGCUGAACUGGGAGUUCCCAGGUCUGACUCUCAUUCCAGAACCUUCUCUCAGCUCCUGCAGAGUGGGCUGCAGAAAGGACAAGCCAGGGGCCCUGCCAGGUGGUUCUUCCAGGGUCCAGGGACGGAGAUUUACAAAUCAGGUGUAGCAGGCUGUUCUGCCUGGAGAAAUACCACAGAGGAGGCAGCUCAAACAGCAGCAAUCCUUUCUCACAGUUCUAGAGGCUGAAAGUCAAAGACCAAACACCAGAGCUGUUUCCUGGUGGGGUCUCUCCUCCUUGGCUGGCAGACAGCUGCCUUCUGGCCUUGUCCUCAUGUGCCCUUUUCUCUGAGUGCGUGAAUUCCUGGCCUCUUCCUCUUUGGGGGACACCAGUCCCCUUACCCUGUUAGUUUAGGGCCCCACCCCAGAUGACUUAAAUACCUCCUUUUAAAAGGCCUUCACUACUAAUACAGACACAUUGGAGUUUAGGGCUUCAUCCAGGGGGUUUGGAGGAGACACAUCUUAGCUUAUAACACAGUAAAGGCAGCCAGAGAAGUUGAAGGAGAGCUGAUGGGCAGGGCCCUGGUUUCAGAGAGGCUUCUCCAAGGAGGAGGCUGCUUAUCAUUUGGUCUCAGCUCCAACGGUUUUUCUUGGCAAGGCUAUCUCUGACAGCCCAUCUAAAAUUUGCUCACUAGCCCAGCACCCUACUUGUUCUAUACAGCGUGGUAUUACCCAGUGCCACCAAGAUCCAAGGAUGCAAAUGUGUACAACCACUGAUGAAAUCACCUGGUCACCUCCUCAAUCAUGAGUCCUUGUUUGUGGUCUGCCUCCUCCCAGACAGAACAGCAGAGGCCCUGCUCAUUUYAUUUUAUAUUCUCAGCCCCAGAAUAGUGCCCCAAAGUCCUAAAGUCCUACAUGCUGCUUCUUUUUUUUUUUUUUUAAGUGAGAGAGAGAGAGUAUUUUUUUUAAUGUUUAUUUUAUUUCCUUUUUUUUUUUUUAGUUUUUAGCAGACACAACAUCUUUGUAUGUGGUGCUGAGGAUCGAACCCCGGGCCGCACGCCUGCCAGGCGAGCAUGCUACCGCUUGAGCCACAUCCCCAGCUCCAACUAAAUGCUUCUUGAAUGGGUGUCUCCUGCAACCUUGGGGUAGGACUUGAAGGAUGAGCUACAGAUUUGCAGAUGCAGGGGUGUGUGGAAAGAGAGGGAAGAACUUCAGUCAGACUGAAAGACAAGCUGGUUGGCAAGAUGUCAGGGAGGUGAGAACAGAGACGCAGGCCAGUCCUUUAAGCAACAGGAAGCUGGAGAUGAUUCUGCGGGUACAAGGAAAAAGUAGCUUGGAUUGUACAUUUUUUACCUUUACCAAAGCAAAUUAAGUGGCUUAAAACAACACAGCUUGUCUUACCACUCUAGAGGUGCCAGGUCUGAGAUGGAUUACGCUGAGCUGAAAAGGUACUAGCCAGGCUGGUUCCUCCUGGCGGCCUUGGGGCAGAGCCUGUUCCCUUGUCUGUUGUGGCUUCUCAGGGUCCCCUGCAUUCCUGGCAUCUUGGCCCCUUCCGUCUUCAGAGCCUGUGGCCUGUGGGGCCUUGCUCCCGAAGCGUCUCUCUGGGCUUCCAACAUCAUUUCCUCUCCUCUGACUCUUCACCUCCCUCCUUCCCUUUUAGGGCCCUUGUGAUUGUUUGGGGCUCACCUGGACGAUCCAGGUGGCCUCCCUCCUCAGGAGCCUUCACUUCAUCACAGCGCAGAUUCCCUUUUGGCAGGUAAGAUUCACAAGUUCUUGGGGUUAGGAGGUGAACAUCCCUGGGGACCCAUUGUCCUGCCUGCCACGGGGAGCAAAGCCAAGCAGGCAGGACUGUGACUGGACCAGCUGUCGGGGUUCUGCCUCUCGCCCCCUGGCAAGGCGAUGACCCCUGCCUCUGAUAUGCCAUUGGACUAUCAGAUGCUAAGUAAAACAGAUGGAGUUGCUGCCUCCUCAGCUUGUACCCUAGUGGAGAGAAUUUUUCAGACUCUUUGCUAUUAUUACACUGGACAUGGAUGUUCUCUGAGGACCCAACGUUGAAUAAAGAUACCUGCUCUGUACA
Long non-coding RNA from Urocitellus parryii (Arctic ground squirrel), 2577 nucleotides. The record is from Ensembl. Lineage: Eukaryota; Metazoa; Chordata; Mammalia; Rodentia; Sciuridae.